This 285-nucleotide ribosomal RNA is filed under the name Triticum aestivum (bread wheat). RNAcentral describes it as "partial small subunit ribosomal RNA". Lineage: Eukaryota; Viridiplantae; Streptophyta; Magnoliopsida; Poales; Poaceae. The record is from RNAcentral.
AUGGCUAAAUACUGGUGGAGUAGCUCUCUGGACAAAAGGUCUUUGCACUGGAUUUCCUGGAAGGCGCUUGCAUCCCCCAAAGUCAAUGGUGGAAUGGGAUUUCGAGACAUGGAAUUAUUCAAUUUAGCGCUUCUUGGCAAGCAUGGUUGGAGGUUCAUGGCCAAUCCCGAUUCCUUGUGUGCCCGUGUCAUGAAGGGUAGAUACUUUCCGGAUUCGGAUUUUAUGCAAGCCACUGUUCCGCAGUCUGCUUCUCCUAUUUGGCGAGCGAUUGUGGCCGGACGGGAG